CCUAAGAUCCAGUUUGGAUCUUAGAGUUUGGUAUUAGAGUAGGACAAACUGUGGUGAGAAGACUUUCAUUCUCUGAAUGAAAGCUGGAAGACUGUGUUCCUUGAUUUAUCAUUAUGGUGCUGCUUUGUCUCCCUUAUCAAUUGCUCAGAAUUCAGUGGAUAAAACUGUAUAUAAUGUUUGCUGCCUGGAUUGACUAAUACCUUGGCUGAACCAAAGCUGGGCUUUCUGAUUCAAAGGGAGCUAAAUCCCACUUUUGGGCUGAUGUUUUGGAGAGCACAAAGCAGAUGCUGCACAUGCCAUGGUAAGAACAUGGUCACAGGAACAGAAACCCAGUGCUGAUGAAAGGGAACCACAUCUGCUGGGAGCCAAAUGGGACCUGACCAAACCUCAUCUUAGACUCAUCUUCCCCUUGCUUGUGAGCACAGUGCAACUGUGCUAUUGAAUAGAUUUUAUUUCCAGUUGCUUUUCCUAUGGGAAAAACAAAACCACCAAAAAAUGUGUGGGUAUUUGAACAUACAAGUGAGCCACCCUCUCAGGGUGUUUACCCAAUCUUUUAAAAUUUCACUUCCUCUGACAUUUUUAUUUAUCUUGGCACGUAAAUACUAAGCCAAGCUGUUUUCCCUUUCCUGAGCUCAGUGUUUUUAAAGGAAGCUGAUGUUCAGCCUUGCUAAAGAAUUUCAGAGCCCUUGAGAAGAGGACCGUGGAUAAGAAGAACAAUGCACAUCUUGCAGGAAUGUCCUCCCAAAUUUUCUGCUGCUCACAACAAACUGAAAAAAUCUCAACUCAGAAGGACCAUGUGAUGCCAAUGCUGCAGGUCUUGUAUGAUUCAGGAUAAUAUGAUUACAGAAAGUUUAAAGGAGACUUGACCUGAAGAUAAAGAUGACCUGGAGUAAUGACAGUCGUGGAGGCUGAAUUGAUGCAGAGGACAUACAUGACUGCAAUGUGCACAGCAGCAUUUCGGGCACCUGCUUCAGUGAAAAUUCAGAAG
Lepidothrix coronata (blue-crowned manakin) is the source of this 988-nucleotide long non-coding RNA. RefSeq lists it as uncharacterized. The transcript is spliced from 3 exons. The record is from RefSeq and is a predicted model, not a curated record. Lineage: Eukaryota; Metazoa; Chordata; Aves; Passeriformes; Pipridae.